This is a long non-coding RNA of Hibiscus syriacus, 85 nucleotides long. RefSeq lists it as uncharacterized. The transcript is spliced from 3 exons. Lineage: Eukaryota; Viridiplantae; Streptophyta; Magnoliopsida; Malvales; Malvaceae. The record is from RefSeq and is a predicted model, not a curated record.
AGUCAUUCCUUCCUCCAAGGUCUGUAUCCUUCCCUCCAGCUCUGCUUUCUGCCCCACCCACCAAGAUGUUGUUACAGAUGCCUUG